This 445-nucleotide ribosomal RNA is filed under the name uncultured bacterium. RNAcentral's name for it is "partial 16S ribosomal RNA". It matches the Rfam family "Bacterial small subunit ribosomal RNA", at positions 354 to 796 of the family's 1533-position model. The record is from RNAcentral.
GUGAGGAAUAUUGGUCAAUGGGCGGGAGCCUGAACCAGCCAAGUCGCGUGAAGGAAGAAGGAUCUAUGGUUCGUAAACUUCUUUUGCAGGGGAAUAAAGUGCAGGACGUGUCCUGUUUUGUAUGUACCCUGAGAAUAAGGAUCGGCUAACUCCGUGCCAGCAGCCGCGGUAAUACGGAGGAUCCGAGCGUUAUCCGGAUUUAUUGGGUUUAAAGGGUGCGUAGGUGGUUUGAUAAGUCAGAGGUGAAAGUUUGCAGCUUAACUGUAAAAAUGCCGUUGAAACUGUCGGACUUGAGUGUAAAUGAGGUAGGCGGAAUGCGUGGUGUAGCGGUGAAAUGCAUAGAUAUCACGCAGAACUCCGAUUGCGAAGGCAGCUUACUAAGCUACAACUGACACUGAAGCACGAAAGCGUGGGGAUCAAACAGGAUUAGAAACCCUGGUAGUCC